Nicotiana tabacum (common tobacco) is the source of this 380-nucleotide non-coding RNA. NCBI's taxonomy places the organism in Eukaryota, Viridiplantae, Streptophyta, Magnoliopsida, Solanales, Solanaceae. The record is from RefSeq and is a predicted model, not a curated record.
CCACUACCACCCCACAAUACCUGCAUCAAUGGAUAGAGCUCCUCAAGACCUAGCUAUUGAUGCCAAUUUCACCCUGAAAAUCCGGCGACCUCCUCGAACACCCUCUUUUGGCAUACCACCAUUUUUUCGGCCACUUGAAUUGUAAAAUGGUAAUCCUUUAAGACUCGUAAUGUACGUAUUUUCAGCAAUGGGAACAACUUGAACAUGCUGCACCAUUUAAAUGUGUUUGAUGUGAUGAAUAGUUUGACAACAAAAGAGCUUGUAUGUUAUUGUUAUGUAUCAAGCAUGUGAUAAUGUGAAUAUAGUCCUUCAUAAUACUUGAAUAUUGAGUUGUAAGUUUUUGAAUGUGAUAUGUAAGUCGUUUAUGGAUUUUUUAAGCA